This 440-nucleotide ribosomal RNA is filed under the name uncultured bacterium. RNAcentral describes it as "partial 16S ribosomal RNA". It matches the Rfam family "Bacterial small subunit ribosomal RNA", at positions 338 to 795 of the family's 1533-position model. The record is from RNAcentral.
CCUACGGGAGGCAGCAGUAGGGAAUUUUGCGCAAUGGGCGAAACCCUGACGCAGCAACGCCGCGUGAACGAGACGCCAUUCGGGGUGUAAAGUUCUGUUAGUGGGGACGAAAGAUGACGGUACCCACAGAGGAAGCACCGGCUAACUACGUGACAGCAGCCGCGGUAAUACGGAGGGUGCAAGCGUUGUCCGGAAUCACUGGGCGUAAAGAGAUCGUAGGCGGUAUGUUAAGUCUGGUGUUAAAUGCAGAAGCUCAACUUCUGUUCGGCAUUGGAUACUGGCAAGCUAGAAUGCAGUAGAGGUAAAGGGAAUUCCUGGUGUAGCGGUGAAAUGCUUAGAUAUGAGGAGGAACAUCGGUGGCGAAGGCGCUUUACUGGGCCGUAAUUGACGCUGAGGAACGAAAGCGUGGGGAGCAAACAGGAUUAGAUACCCUUGUAGUC